Molecule: ribosomal RNA, 403 nt
Filed under: uncultured bacterium
Lineage: Bacteria
Description: partial 16S ribosomal RNA
Rfam family: Bacterial small subunit ribosomal RNA
Source: RNAcentral
AUUGAACGCUGGCGGCAGGCCUAACACAUGCCAGUCGAGCGAGCGGCGGACGGGUGAGUAAUGUAUGGGGACCGACCGAUAGAGCUGGAUAACCAUCGGAAACGGUAGCCAAAUCCCCAUAUUAUCGGAUAACCCAUAUGGGAUUAGCUAGUUGGUGGGGUAAUGGCUCACCAAGGCCACGAUGCCUAGCUGGUCUGAGAGGAUGAUCAGCCACACUGGGACUGAGACACGGCCCAGACUCCGACGGAGGCAGCAGUGGGGAAUAUUGCACAAUGGGCGCAAGCCUGAUGCAGCCAUGCCGCGUGUAUGAAGAAGGCCCUAGGGUUGUAAAGUACUGUCAGUGGGGAGGCGUUACCGACAGAAGAAGCACCGGCUAACUCCGUGCCAGCAGCAGCGGUAAUAC